Molecule: ribosomal RNA, 497 nt
Filed under: uncultured bacterium
Lineage: Bacteria
Description: partial 16S ribosomal RNA
Rfam family: Bacterial small subunit ribosomal RNA
Source: RNAcentral
GAUGAACGCUGGCGGCGUGCCUAACACAUGCAAGUCGAGCGAACAGACGAGGAGCUUGCUCCUCUGACGUUAGCGGCGGACGGGUGAGUAACACGUGGAUAACCUACCUAUAAGACUGGGAUAACUUCGGGAAACCGGAGCUAAUACCGGAUAAUAUAUUGAACCGCAUGGUUCAAUAGUGAAAGAUGGUUUUGCUGUCACUUAUAGCUGGAUCCGCGCCGCAUUAGCUAGUUGGUAAGGUAACGGCUUACCAAGGCAACGAUGCGUAGCCGACCUGAGAGGGUGAUCGGCCACACGGGAACUGAGACACGGUCCAGACUCCUACGGGAGGCAGCAGUAGGGAAUCUUCCGCAAUGGGCGAAAGCCUGACGGAGCAACGCCGCGUGAGUGAUGAAGGUCUUCGGAUCGUAAAACUCUGUUAUUAGGGAAGAACAAAUGUGUAAGUAACUAUGCACGUCUUGACGGUACCUAAUCAGAAAGCCACGGCUAACUACGUG